UGAGCCACCACGCCAGGCCCCGAUUUUCUGUUUUCUUAACUGCCCAGUGGAGAUAAUAGAGCUGCCUCACAAAGCUGUUGCAAGGAUCAAGUGGCAUCUUGUAGGUCAAGCCUCUAGCAAGGGUCUGGUAUGCAGUAGGCUCUUGGCCCAAGUUAGUUCCCCUUCCCUGACUGAACCCUUUUCUGCAUCCAACAUGGAAGACAAGCUCUGGGAAGUGGCUGGGGAAGGUGAUUUAUUAAUGAAUGUCACACAGGUGUCAGGACUCUAAGGUGGCUCCUUCUGAAGGUCACCUCUAAAGGCAACUCUAAGAGGUAGGGAUCAUUUCAAGUAAAAUAAGGAUCUGCUUUUAAGAAUACAGCCCCUAACACAGCCUAGGGCGCUGAUAGAGAUCAGACCUCGCUGGAGGACCUCUCCCUAAAUGAUCCCUUAACCCCAGACACUGCCAUCCAUGCCUUAGUCUCUGCAGAGGAGGAGGAAGAGAAUCCUUCUCAAGAAGAGGAGGGUGUCUGGAUUUUACACAGGGAGUGUCUAUUCUCUUCGCAGAGAAUAGAACCAAAAAAUAGACAUCAGACAGACUGAGGUUGGGCAGCAGAGUGGGAUUUCUAUCCUGGAAAGGCUGCAUGUCUUGGGGAGGCAGCAUGUCUUGGAGUGAAAGGGUGCCCCACUGGAGGCCCCCACCCAGGAAGUGGCCUGUCCAUCUCCCUGUCUUGGUUCAUGGGGAGAGGUCUGGAAAUCCUUUGGGGGUAGUGGCCAGAUUGUAUCCAUAGUCCCAGUUAGACCCUCAGCAAUGCCAACAGGCUCUUAGCUGCGGGUCACUGUGCUCCACUGCCUCUAGGUCACCCUGCCCCACCUUCAGGGCUAUAGUUCUUUCUUCUGGAAACUACACAGGACAUGAGAAUCCCAGACUGGGCUGCGCUUCCUGGAAGAGGAUGUAUGUGUGAGCCCAGCAGCCACUGUGAUGAGGCUCCAGGUAGUGAUAUUGGCAAAAGAGGGGGGAGUUAAGGCAGCAUGGUGACAGCAGUGGUGACAAGGCCUCCGGUAGAUGUAGCCAUGAUGAGUGAUGCUCGGUAGGGUAGGCUGUGGCGCCUUUAUCCAGAGUCUAAACGCUUGCUCUCAGUUUCAGCUCCAUAUAUUACAAGCUGUGUGGCCUGGGGACAGUAGCUUGCUCUUUCUGACCUCGGUUUCUUCAUCAGUAAAAUGAAGACGCUAAUAACAACAGUCCUGUCUUCCUCAAUGUCUCCAGCCAGCAGGUGACUUUAACAUGCCAAGGGGCAAGAGUGAAUUCAGGUGGAGGUACUUUGCUAAAAGCAGCCCAGAUGAAAUGACUGAGCAGAACUGGCUGUGUUAUCCCCAGAAUGAUUUCUUGCUUCCCCAGGAGACUCCUGUUGCUAUGACGAGUUUUCCUGGUUCUCAGUUCCUGGAUUCUGGGGUAGCUGGGAUCUUCUGGCUGUGGCCUCACUUAGCAUCUUACAGUGAUGUCCUGGCAUCCUGCCCAGGCCCCACUCACCAGUUCUGGUGCUGACCCUGCAGGUCCCAGCUCCCUCCCAGCCAGCCUAGAGACAGGGCCAGGCUCCAUGGAAGGAAGAACAAGAGACUUGCCUGAAAGCCAAAUGCUAUGCCCAGCAGAACCACAGAGGUAGGCACUAUCUCCAUGGCUCCAUUUGGUGGCCAAGGGGUUGGAUCUGUGCAGUCUCGCCCAAAGGACACUUCUCAGGGGUCAGGAGAGUUUCAGCUCGGAACUUACACGUGAUUCUAGGCUGAGGGGGAGAGAAAAGGCAGGGCGGGGGAGGGCAGAUUAGGCAAAGGAAUGUGUCCCCUAGCUCAUAGUGGAAGUGGGCUCUAGAGUGCCUUGCCCAUACCCUCUUUAUGCUCUAGAGAGGUGGGCAAACGACAAAGUAUGAGAUUACCCAGAAGAACCAGCCUCCAGAUUGACACUGGAGAUGAAGGCCACUCAGUUCCCGCCAUUGCAAAAAGAAUAGAAGGAGUAGGAUUGGCCAGCGCUUGCAAACAAACAGGAGGGGGCAGUGUUGACGCAAUGACCUCCACCUGGGGGCGGUCAGCAAGGGAACUGUCCUUUCCUGGGCAUCCAGGAGAUGCACCUGCCCGAUUUCACUCAUCCUCACGACCACCUUGUGAGAUAGGCACUAUCUCCAUGGCUCCAUCUGGCAAACGAAAAAGCUGACGGCCUGAGAGGGUUACACUGCUAGGAAGAGGUUGACCUGGGGUCGAAACCCAGGACUGCCUGUCUGAAUGCUAAAUGGGUGCUUUGCGUUCUUUGCCUGCCUUCACAGGACUCCAGACCAUCCCUCCUGCACAUCCGCCUCUCCCAGGCCUGCCUCCAUGUCCCAGCCCCCUCCAACAGUUCCAUCUCCCAAGAGCUCCUUGCAUCUCCUCUCUCACUCCUCACUCUUGCUUCCUCUUUGGAAUCCAGCCACAGGCUUUUUUCUUCCAUCUGAGGGAGAGAAAAUGGUCUUCGUUCCCCACCCCCAGGUCUUUCCAUCCUCUCAUCCAUCCAAACCUAAGCAUCUCUCUCUCCUCCCCUCCCCCUCUUGUUUUUUUCUUUCUGUUUAUCCAUCACUAGAAUCCAUCCCCCUUCCCUCUUGCCUGUAGGUUCUGUGGCUAUAAUAAAAUCAUAACUUUUAUUAAAUUUAAGAUUACUUUUUAAUGGAAUCAAUUUCUUGUGUGGUGCUUCUCUGCCUGCCCGCGGGCUCUGCCGGCUCUGUGCUCAGCAUCCCCACCCGCACAAUUGUCUCUGCCGCUGGCGUUUCUGGCUAAGCUGCCUCUGAAGGAGGGGCAGGUCUGCCAUCCCCAAACACACACAGAGAAACACACACACGCACACACCCUCACACACACACCAGGAUGCACCUUCCUGCAAGGCCCAGACACACAGCCACCAAGCCCCAGGCGUCCACGCUGAGCAGCGGGGGAGGGAGAGGGGCAGGGGCAGGAGGAGAGAGCUGCAGAGAGAACGAUUGACAGUGCAAAACAAACACGAGCCGAGCAGACAUUUCUCAGCCUGUUAAUUUCCUACAGUUCUGUUUUCCAGCCUCAGAAACACGCUGGUUUCUGCCAGUCCACCCCCUUCCCUCUGACUGCAUUGUGCAGCUGGUGAGCAGGGAGAAGUUGCAGGGAGGAGGGGGUUCCAGAAGAGCAGCGAAGAGACUCAGGUUUUCACAUGAUUUAUCAAAGUACAGGCAAGAUGCAGAGAUGCUUCCGAAGCUGUGACCCCAAAAAGAAGCCCAACUGGGAGAUUUGCAGGCUGGACCAGUCUAACUCUACAGGUCUGGGCUUCAGGACGAAGGGAACCUGGGGGUGCUGCAGGGAAUGCUUUGGAGGUAGGAGAGGAAAUGGAAAGCAGGGUUGGAGGAUCACUUUGAUGGAGGGAACAGGGGCUGGGAAGAGGUAUUGUGGGAGUUCUCAAAAUGAGCUCUUUGGGGGGCCUAUAGAUGGGGGUUUGCAGGCUCAGCAAAGACUUGGCCGCCUCCUUAAGCUGUUGGGAUAGCUCUGGGAUCUGCUUUUCUCGGAGGCUCACUGGACAGUCUUAGGUAGACAGGAGAUCAUGGGUGGCAGGUGGAUCUGAGGCCUGAGGAUGGCCCCUCUUGGCCCACCACACUGUCCUCAGUGUGGCAAACUGAGGACAGUUAGUAACUGAGUGUCAGGCAGGUGACUUCACGUUCAUCCAGGUAGAUGGUGCAAAGGUCAGUGAAUAAGAGCAUAGCCUUUGGAAUCAGAGAGGUCCACAAUCUAGACUCUGAUGCUUUCGAACUGCAUGACCUUGAAUAAAUGACCUGACUUCUCUGAGCCUAUUUUCUACUCUGAAAUGAGGAUGCAGUAAAAUGAUGCAUGUGGAACAUCUAGCGCAAAGCCUGACAGAGCAAGAGUUCAAGUGGAUUGCUAAUAUUUGUAUUAUAUCUUCUAAGCACCAACCAAAUGCACACACAUGGCCCAUGAUCCCCUGUGCCUAGGUUGAUUGGGACCUAAGCCAACCAAGUAUUAGCCCAGGGGGCAGACACCACAGGCAGGCUUAGAAUUUCAUCUAAGAGGCAGGCUUCCACUCUUAGAUGAAAUUCAGGCUGGGACCAGAGACCAUGAUGUUGAGUGUUCCCAGGACUGGAAUUCAGGACCUGGCAGGGCUCUUUUCCCUCCUUCAGGUGGAAGAGUGGCUGAGCCUUGUCAGGAAAAUAGGUGAGGGACUGAUGAAGGCCCCUGGGUACUGAAGGCCAAACUCCUUCCUCACCCCUGACUUUCAGGGAGCAAUGAACCUGAAGCUGGGUUUCCUCUAAGGCAGAAUAAAGGGAAAACAUCCUGUGAUCAAUUCCUCCCCUGCAGCCUCUGAUUUCCUCCUGUUGGUGUGGGGACUUUAGAGGGCUCUGACAUCCUUAGACAAGGCCAAGAGAAGGAAGGGUCUAUAAAGAUUUAAUUAGGCACAGGGCAUGAGUGCCCUUUCUAUCCCUCCUGUCCUUCAACCCUAGAGGGUAGGAAAAAACUCAAGAAUGCAAACAAGGGGAAGAACUGGAAAAGGCUGGUUCUGGUAGUGAAACUCCUCAUGAACCCAAACUUGGUAGCAGAUGCCAACAUGGCUACAGUCACAGUACAGCCAUCAUCGGUGGCUCGGCCCCAUCAGGGCUGCACUUUGGAGCCCAGCAAUCUCCUUGGUGAGAGGGACAGCUGGAACCUCCUCUCCUAGGCAAGAACUCACCUCUCAUCUAUUACCCCUAAAAGGAGGCUGUUUCAACCAGCUCAGCAACCCCCUGGGUUUGACCCCUAACACAACAAGCAUGCCUGCUGAACCUACACCUGGACCUAUAGACUUGUAGAGUCUUAUCUGGGCCUGGAUGUUCCCACAGGACCAUUAUCAGUCAUGCGUCCAGAGCUUUGCUGCCCAAGGGGACUUUUUGAGGCCUGAAUAUUAUUUACUUCAAUUCUCCUUUCAUAAGGCACCUGAGGCCCAGAUGGGGAAAGUCACACAGGACUGUGAUGGGGCCUGACCGAGGUCUCCUGAAUCCUCCCAGAACUGCUUGCUGUGCUCUGUGGCCUUUCCUCUGGCUAUAACUAACCCCACCUACACCUGAGGCUGCACACGCUCACACAGCGCUUCGCAUUGGCCAGGCACUUGCUCUGUGUUCCCAGCCUCGCUCUGAGGCAGGUACUACUAUGAUUCCCAUUUUACGCCUGGGAAGGCUGAGGCUCAGAGAGGUUAAAAACUUCCCUAAGCUAGUAUGUGGCCAAGCUAGAAUGUGAAACCAGAAUGUCUGGCCUCAGAAUCUAGACUCCUAACCACUGGGCUGUGCUACCUCUCUCCUCUGGAAGCUUCACCUGCAUCUGCACACAUUUACCUUCACUUUCCUCUUCUCCUGUCCUUAGCUUUCACCACCACUCUCACUAUUUCUUAUUUCUCAUUUCAGGCUAAGCCAGAUAAUCCCCCCAGACACAUGGGCAGGCUCACAAUCCCUGUCCUUUAUCUUCUCCAUCACCAUCUUAGCUUUAUCAUGCUCACUAUCACCACCAACUUCACCAUUUAUAAAGUCCCUAAUUGCAAAUGACCGUGUACCUACAGACCAACGCAGAUCUAACCCCUGCCUUGGGAUGGGAAGUUAGGGCUUACAGUCAAGCCAAAUAACAGUUUAAGCCACAUAUACUCCCUCCUUUUGUAAAUAAAGGUACAAAAUCAGAAUGUGGAAGGCAGUCUCCUUCUUAGAGAUUUUUCUGAAAUAAGAUGGAGGUGGUGAAGGAGAAGUUUCAAACAGCCAAAGAGCGCCUGCUGAGGGAAAUUAAUCAAUGGCCAAGAAGAUUGCUUGUCGUCUUUCAAUAUUUAUAAGAAAUAAUGAGCCUCCAGAGAGGGGGCUAGAGCUCCAAGGGAACAGAAGACCAGUGGAUGCUCUGUCCAAUUCAUGCCUCUAAGGAACUACAGGAGAAAGAUGGAGCCAUAGGCAGCUUUCACCCACUUUGGGUGGUGGCCAACACCCCAUCUCCCCAGCCACAGUAUCUCUUGCAGCCCCUGGAAGCCAGCAGCAAGCAGCACUGCCCAGAAGUUUUAAAAGUGAUUUUUUCUUUGAGCCCAAAUCCCACCCACCUCCCAACCCAAUGAGAUUGCUGGUUGGCUCUCCAUUAGUGCUGGCUGCCAGAGGUGCCAUCAUCCGUCACAGGAUCUAGAGGAAGGAGGGCAGUGGCUUCCCGGACCAGAGUCUCCACCCAGAAUUCCAGCCAAGGCCCCAGAGCUCCCAGGACCUGGAGAAUUUUUUCCCCCUGGUUGUGUUUGGAAUUGGCUGGUUUUCUGGGCACCAGGCCCAGCUCAGUUUAAUUUUUGUUUAUUUUUAUGUACAGAUUCUCUUCUGUUUGGGGACGAGCUUUGUGUAAAUUAUUAUUAUUUAUAUGAUAAAGAAUAAAUCACACCAA
Molecule: long non-coding RNA, 6399 nt
Organism: Sapajus apella (tufted capuchin)
Lineage: Eukaryota; Metazoa; Chordata; Mammalia; Primates; Cebidae
Exons: 2
Source: RefSeq, a predicted model, not a curated record